This 253-nucleotide ribosomal RNA is filed under the name uncultured bacterium. RNAcentral describes it as "partial 16S ribosomal RNA". It matches the Rfam family "Bacterial small subunit ribosomal RNA", at positions 524 to 776 of the family's 1533-position model. The record is from RNAcentral.
UACGUAGGGUGCGAGCGUUAAUCGGAAUUACUGGGCGUAAAGCGUGCGCAGGCGGUUUUGUAAGCCAGGUGUGAAAUCCCCGGGCUUAACCUGGGAAUGGCAUUUGGGACUGCAAGGCUGGAGUGUGGCAGAGGAGACUGGAAUUCCUGGUGUAGCAGUGAAAUGCGCAGAUAUCAGGAAGAACACCCGUGGCGAAGGCGGUUCUCUGGGACGGUACUGACGCUGAGACGCGAAAGCGUGGGGAGCGAACAGG